RNA transcript from Rhinopithecus roxellana (golden snub-nosed monkey), 5369 nucleotides. It is a transcript of the gene named protein phosphatase 6 regulatory subunit 2, with no coding region annotated. NCBI's taxonomy places the organism in Eukaryota, Metazoa, Chordata, Mammalia, Primates, Cercopithecidae. The transcript is spliced from 24 exons. The record is from RefSeq and is a predicted model, not a curated record.
UGCUGGUGUUUUCGUGUUGCUCCGCGGCCGUCACAAUGUUCUGGAAGUUUGACUUGAACACCACGUCCCACGUUGACAAGCUGCUGGACAAGGAGCAUGUGACGCUGCAGGAGUUAAUGGAUGAAGAUGACAUCUUGCAGGAGUGUAAGGCUCAGAACCAGAAGCUGCUGGAUUUCCUGUGCAGGCAGCAGUGCAUGGAGGAGCUGGUGAGCCUCAUCACACAGGAUCCGCCCCUGGACAUGGAGGAGAAGGUCCGCUUCAAAUAUCCAAACACAGCCUGUGAGCUUCUGACUUGUGAUGUGCCACAGAUCAGCGACCGCCUCGGUGGGGACGAGAGCCUGCUGAGCCUCCUGUAUGACUUCCUGGACCAUGAGCCGCCUCUCAAUCCUCUGCUCGCCAGUUUUUUCAGCAAGACCAUUGGCAAUCUCAUUGCAAGAAAAACUGAACAGGUGAUUACAUUUUUGAAGAAGAAGGACAAGUUCAUCAGCCUGGUGUUGAAGCACAUCGGCACCUCAGCGCUUAUGGACCUGCUGCUGCGCCUGGUCAGCUGUGUGGAGCCAGCUGGGCUCCGGCAGGAAGUCCUGCAUUGGCUGAAGGAAGAGAAAGUCAUCCAGAGGCUUGUGGAGUUGAUCCACCCGAGCCAGGAUGAAGAUAGGCAGUCAAAUGCUUCUCAGACUCUCUGUGACAUAGUUAGGCUGGGCAGAGACCAGGGCAGUCAGCUGCAAGAGGCUCUGGAGCCAGACCCCCUCCUCACAGCGCUGGAGUCGCAGGACUGUGUGGAGCAGCUUCUGAAGAACAUGUUUGAUGGAGACCGGACAGAGAGUUGCCUCGUCAGCGGGACUCAGGUGUUACUCACCUUGCUGGAAACCAGGCGGGUUGGGACAGAGGGCUUGGUGGACUCCUUUUCUCAGGGACUGGAAAGGUCAUACACUGUCAGCAGCAGUGUACUACACGGCAUCGAGCCUCGGCUGAAGGACUUCCACCAGCUCCUGCUCAACCCGCCCAAGAAGAAAGCGAUCCUGACCACCAUUGGUGUGCUGGAGGAGCCCCUGGGGAAUGCCCGUCUGCAUGGCGCCCGCCUCAUGGCAGCACUGCUGCACACAAACACACCCAGCAUCAACCAGGAGCUCUGCCGGCUCAACACCAUGGACUUACUGCUGGACUUGUUCUUUAAGUACACCUGGAAUAACUUUCUGCACUUCCAAGUGGAACUCUGCAUAGCCGCUAUUCUCUCCCACGCUGCCCGCGAGGACAGGACAGAAGCCAGCGGGUCCGAGAGCAGGGCGGAGCCUCUGCAUGAGAACGGGAACCGGAGCCUGGAGACCCCCCAGCCUCCCACCAGCCUCCCUGAUAACACAAUGGUGACCCACCUGUUCCAGAAGUGCUGCCUGGUGCAGAGGAUCCUGGAGGCCUGGGAAGCCAACGACCACACACAGGCAGCGGGUGGCAUGAGACGUGGGAACAUGGGCCACCUCACACGGAUCGCCAACGCGGUGGUGCAGAACCUGGAGCGGGGCCCUGUGCAGACGCACAUCAGCGAGGUCAUCCGAGGGCUCCCUGCGGAUUGCCGUGGCCGCUGGGAGAGCUUCGUGGAGGAGACACUGACAGAGACGAACCGCAGGAAUGCUGUGGACCUGGUGAGCACUCACCACCUUCACUCCUCGAGUGAGGACGAGGACAUUGAGGGUGCUUUCCCUAACGAGCUGUCCCUUCAGCAGGCCUUCUCUGACUACCAGAUCCAGCAGAUGGCGGCCAGCUUUGUGGAUCAGUUUGGCUUCAAUGAUGAGGAGUUUGCAGACCAGGACGACAACAUCAAUGCCCCAUUUGACAGGAUCGCAGAGAUCAACUUCAACAUCGACGCUGACGAGGACAGUCCCAGCGCAGCUCUGUUUGAGGCCUGCUGCAGCGACCGCAUCCAGCCCUUUGAUGACGAUGAGGAUGAGGACAUCUGGGAGGACAGUGAUACUCGCUGUGCCACCCGGGUGAUGGCCAGAGCCAGGUUUGGAGCCCCCCAUGCUUCAGAGAGCUGCUCAAAGAAUGGCCCAGAGCGCGGAGGCCAGGACGGGAAGGCGAGCUCAGAAGCACACGGAGAUGCACCUGGGGCAGGUGCCCCCCCGGCCCCUGGGAAGAAGGCAGCCCCCCCUGUGGAGGGUGACUCAGAAGCAGGCGCCAUGUGGACGGCAGUGUUUGAGGAGCCAGCGAACUCGACACCCACAGCCCCAGGAGUGGUGAGGGACGUGGGUUCCAGCGUGUGGGCAGCUGGCACCUCAGCUCCAGAGGAGAAAGGCUGGGCCAAGUUCACCGACUUCCAGCCCUUCUGCUGCUCCGAGUCAGGGCCCAGGUGCAGCUCUCCAGUGGACACAGAACGCAGCCGGGCUGAGGGCAGCCGAAGCCAAGGCCCUGAGAAAGCCUUCAGCCCAGCUUCUCCAUGUGCCUGGAACGUGUGUGUCACCAGGAAGGCCCCCCUGCUGGCCUCUGACAGCAGCUCCUCCGUGGGCUCCGACAGCGAGGACGACUACCAGAAGGCAGCGAGUGCCGUGGACGCCGUGAGCAGGGGUCCCGGCCGGGAGGCCCCCCCGCUGCCCACAGUGGCCAGGACAGAGGAGGCUGUUGGCAGGAAGAAGGUCCCUGGCAUUCUUCAGUGAACAGAUACCACUCUGGCCUCUGGGGUCAGGGGGUGGGAGAUUAGCAGGAGGGCAGGACAGAUGGGGUAGAUGCCAGGGCCAGGUAAACCUAAGGGGGAGGGUAGGACUGGGCUUGAUGGGGGGAGGAGGGUGCACCUGGCAAGGGGACAGCUAUGCAAAGGCCCUGGGGCCUGAGCUCCCAGUAGGUCCAGGCAACAGUGGGGAGGUCCUUGGACUGGAUUUCUCUAGGAGGGGACAAGGUGCCUGUCACCUGGUGGUAUAUCCCAGUCCCUCCUGGCUCUGUGGUUGUGAAGGGCCUGCCUGGAGCAGGGUGAGGAUGCCCCCCAGCCUCACCGCCCAGUGCAGCUCAGCCUGCAUGCGUCCCACCUGUGCUGCCCUCCCCUCACAUGUGGAACAGGUCUGACACCUCAGAGCGUCUUGCUCGCUGACCCCCGGCAGUCCUGGAAGGUCUGUGUGGUACUGGGGCUCCGGGCAUCUCCCCCAGCCAAGCUGCAAGCUCAGCACCAGGCUGGCUCUCCCUGCCCUGUUGACCGGCAGGCCCCGUCUGUGCUCACAGCUUCUCCCCGUUUGGCCACCCUGUCCUCAGGGCAUCUGCAGCAAGUGGGGGGCAUAGCACGGGAACGGGGCCAAUGCCACAGCAGUGGAUGUCCUGAUGCCGAAGUCGCUGGGAAGCCCAGGCCAGAGCCCCUCGGGUUGAGAGUCAUACAGAGUUUCUGCGUGGGCUUCAGUCCUUCUUAGUCACUGAAAAUAAUUUUUUUUGUUUUGUUUUUGAGAUGGAGUCUUGCGCUGUUGCCCCGGCUGGAGUGGGUAUGAUCUCGGCUCACUGCAACCUCUGCCUCCCAGGAGAAUCACUUGAACCAGUGAGCUGAGAUUGCACCAUUGCACUCCAGCCUGGGCGUCAGAGACUAUGUCAACCAAAACAAACCUUUACCCACUUUUCCUAAACAACCCGUAAAAAACUUUGCUCUGAAAAGCGGGGAAUAUUAUUGUGCAAAGUAAGUUGCUUUUUUCCACGGGGCUGUCUGCAUAAAACUUGCCACACUUAGAGCUCUGCCUGCACCGUCCUGACGACCCAGCCUGCAGGUGAGCUUCCUCGCACCCCCACCUGACCUGAGCGCCCCUCGCCGGGUCAGACACUCAGUGUCCUCGCCCAGCAGGAGGCCAGAGGGCCCAUCUGCUGCUCGUGGCCAGGCUGGGCCUUGGGGUGCCUGACCCCCUCCAGAGCGAGCCCCUUAGAUACCCGGCAGGAUCCUCUCUCCCCUCCCGUCCCUCAGGCGGUUUCCCCACACUGCCCAGUGUAAGGCUGACGUUGAGAUCACGGCACAGGAGCCUCAGGGGCCCUUGGAGAAUGAGGCGCUUGAUGAGCAGGAUCUGAGCGCCGCCUGGAAGGAGGUUUGAGGUCAUCAGUGGACAGGCAGCUUGUCCCAGUACUUGGAACUCGGGGCCGCAGAGCUGCCUCGCUGGGCACAACCUGGGCCACCCCACAGAGGGCAGGAGUGGGAGGGGCCAAAGAUGGUGCUCCAGGCCACCUGGACCUUUUUGUCCAGCUGGUCCUUCGGCAUGCGUUGGGGUGGCACUGAGGGUGGGGGUGCCCAUAACCAGAGCCCAUGUCUGCCACGCAGGGCCGAGUGUCCUGACAGCCGGCUGUUAGACCCUGCCUGCCCCGCGCCAAAGGAAGUGACCGCUGCCCCAGCUGUGGCUGCUGUGGCCAUCACCACAGCAUUGAGCAAGGCUGGCCCCGCCAUACCCACCCCAGCAGUCUCUUCUGCAGUGGCCGUGGCGGUCCCCCUAGGGCCCAUCAUGGCAGUCACAACAGCCCCAGCCAUGAUGGCCACCCUGGGGACAGUGACAAAGGACAGGAAGACAGAUGCCCCGCCGGAAGGAGCUGCCUUAAAUGGCCCAGUGUGAUGCUGCUGCCGCCCGGCCACGGCCCGCCCUGGUCAGGCUGCAUCCUUAAUCGAGAAAACUACCUGGUGAUGCAAUCUUUUUUUUUUUUAAUUUAAUUUAAUUUUAAAAUAAAUGCUGCAUUGGUAAAGCUGGCAGUUGAAACCAGUUGGACGGCCCAGCUUGCGUCUCUUCUGCCUGAGUGGGCCUCUCAGGUCACUCGUGCCCUGCUGGAGGACAGAGGGGCACCUCAGCCACCCCCAGGCCCGGAGCACAGCAAUAAGGUCUGCCUGCAGGAGCCGGGUGGGGGUGGGGGGCAGGACCCUGAGAUGCCACCAGGAUCUGAUGGGCCAGGAAGGGCGUGGACUUGGAGGCUGUUUUUAGAGACUUUUUUAAAGAAUACAGAAGGAGCCAAGCUUUUUUGCACUUUGUAUCCAGCUGCAAGCUCAGGGCAGAGUCAAGGGCCUGGGCUGGGGACACCCGACUCACAGGAAUGCAUACGGGCCUCAGACCCUUGCAGCUGCCCAGUAGCCCUUGGAGCUGGCACUGAACCAGGCUGCAAGAUUUGACUGCCUUAAAAACACAAGGCCCUCUGGGCCUGGCAGGGAUGUCCCUGUGCCCAGCACAGGGUGCCUGGCGGGGGAGACCACAGGUAUGCAGGUGGGGGGGCCAUGGCUUGGCACUGGGGGCUUGAAGACUGGUUUCUAGCACUACUGGUCAUGGCCAUGUUGUCCUAAAAGGGUCCAGAAGAUUAUUUUACGUUGAGUCCAUUUUUAAUGUUCUGAUCACCUGACAGGGCACCCAAAACCCCCAACUCCCAAUAAAAGCCGUGACGUUCGG